AUGCUAGAGCACUACUGCCUCCUUAGAGCCCUUGAAACACAAGGGUCUGGAGGCAUGUGCUAUACCGUACAACUAUCCCAGCGGCAUCCUCUAAAGAGAGGAAGCGCUAGGAAUGCAUGGGGCUAAUAACAUGUAGGACCACAUCUCUCAGAAAACCUAGGACUGUGUCUGUGUUAAAAAGCGGUUCUGGGCCGAGGAACAUUACUGGAUGGAGAGGGAUGUGCUGUCUGUAAGCUAAGGAAAAAUGUUUCGUUCUUUCAAAUUCGGCUUCGCGACACUCCAGACGGACGUGGAGCACGGUCAGCCUCUCCCCGCAUCUACCACAGGUUGGAGGCUCACUUCCGGAAUCUGUUGUCCACACAUUUGUAAGCAAGGAUCCGGAACUAGGCCUCUCUUCCUUGUAAACAGCACACAAGAACUUUUUUGAGGAUUGAUUUUAAAACCAUUUUUAUCUGCCCACCCUGACACCUUGUUCAAGCCAUGCUGUACCUGUCUCUCGCAUACUGCGAGGUUACAGGAUUUGAAGCCUAUUUGAAUGUCGUCCACAUAGACGGAAUACAAGAUGGCUGGUGGUAAGGACGCACGAAGCGUUGUCAUUUUAACAAUAAAAAGUGUGCAACUGA
RNAcentral lists this long non-coding RNA (623 nucleotides) under Dermacentor andersoni. Its description in RNAcentral is "uncharacterized LOC126528281". Lineage: Eukaryota; Metazoa; Arthropoda; Arachnida; Ixodida; Ixodidae. The record is from RNAcentral.